Molecule: long non-coding RNA, 956 nt
Organism: Hipposideros armiger (great roundleaf bat)
Lineage: Eukaryota; Metazoa; Chordata; Mammalia; Chiroptera; Hipposideridae
Exons: 3
Source: RefSeq, a predicted model, not a curated record
GGCACAUGCUGUCAGCUGGAAAGCUGAGAAAGAAAGCUGGAAAGAAGCACCAACAGCUAACUGCUAACAACUAAUCGUAUUCCUUGUGGAAAGCUUUCUCCUGAAGAGAGAUCUGAGCUGCUUGUUUGAUUCCAUGGCUGCCACAGGCCGAGGAGGUUGACCCCUAGGGAUCAUAUUACUUGGACUCCCUGCCUCCUGGAUGCCAGAGCCAUGGACACCUGUCCCGUCCAUGUUGAGGACAGCUGGCAGAGCAGGAGGUCAGCAGGCCCGAGAAGGGCUCUGUCUGCCAGCAGCACCAGCCUGGGUAAGCCAUACAGGACCCGCUCUCCAUGGACCAGCGUUACAGACGCUCCUGCAUGCAUCCAGUUACCACCAGCAGAUGAUACUCCCGCCAGUGGCUAAUUGAAUCUCAUUUGCUUCAUUGCUGGCUGCGUGAUCGUAGGAGUUUCUUUGAAUUUAUGACAGAUGCUGGCCGAAGAGCCCUCAGAAAUUGGAAUGUUUUUGGCAUUUUAAGACGAUUAGGCUCCGAGGAUCCUUACUACACAUAGGGCUGGAGACCUGGCAUCCUCCCCAUUUUUCAUCUCUACAGAUCCAACAACACAAGAGCCAAUUAAGUGAACAAUCAGGCUUCGUGACUUCUCAGGCACUGUUUCCAUCAGCGGAGGACGGAGCAGACCGAACAAUUUGUGUAUUUGGGGUAAACAUAUUUGAGAAAUGAAUGCACUCAGCCAUCUGAGAUAAUAUUCAGAAAUAAAAUUAUGGUUAAAUAUAGAAACAAUUGGCUUCCCUCUAUGCUGAAGACAUUGGUGAUGAAUUUUCUAGAGACGCUUUCUGUACUCCAGUGAUACUCAGGAUUCAUGGUUUAUAGAUUGCCGCAUUGUUCGUUUGUGAUAGACACAGAACUCGGGUGACUGAUGGCUGGUUUCCUGGAAGCUUAGAAACAUGAUGUGCAAGUG